This 531-nucleotide ribosomal RNA is filed under the name Enterococcus faecalis. Its description in RNAcentral is "partial 23S ribosomal RNA". It matches the Rfam family "Bacterial large subunit ribosomal RNA", at positions 1 to 531 of the family's 2925-position model. Lineage: Bacteria; Bacillati; Bacillota; Bacilli; Lactobacillales; Enterococcaceae. The record is from RNAcentral.
AGGUUAAGUGAAUAAGGGCGCACGGUGGAUGCCUUGGCACUAGGAGCCGAUGAAGGACGGGACUAACACCGAUAUGCUUUGGGGAGCUGUAAGUAAGCUAUGAUCCAGAGAUUUCCGAAUGGGGGAACCCAAUAUCUUUUAUAGGAUAUUACUUUUCAGUGAAUACAUAGCUGAUUAGAGGUAGACGCAGAGAACUGAAACAUCUUAGUACCUGCAGGAAGAGAAAGAAAAUUCGAUUCCCUGAGUAGCGGCGAGCGAAACGGGAAGAGCCCAAACCAACAAGCUUGCUUGUUGGGGUUGUAGGACUCCAAUAUGGUAGUCUGUUAGUAUAGUUGAAGGAUUUGGAAAAUUCCGCUAAAGAGGGUGAAAGCCCCGUAGACGAAAUGCUAACAACACCUAGGAGAAUCCUGAGUACGGCGGAACACGAGAAAUUCCGUCGGAAUCCGCGGGGACCAUCCCGCAAGGCUAAAUACUCCCUAGUGACCGAUAGUGAACCAGUACCGUGAGGGAAAGGUGAAAAGCACCCCGGAA